This 497-nucleotide ribosomal RNA is filed under the name uncultured bacterium. RNAcentral describes it as "partial 16S ribosomal RNA". It matches the Rfam family "Bacterial small subunit ribosomal RNA", at positions 28 to 507 of the family's 1533-position model. The record is from RNAcentral.
GAUGAACGCUGGCGGCGUGCCUAAUACAUGCAAGUCGAGCGAACAGACGAGGAGCUUGCUCCUCUGACGUUAGCGGCGGACGGGUGAGUAACACGUGGAUAACCUACCUAUAAGACUGGGAUAACUUCGGGAAACCGGAGCUAAUACCGGAUAAUAUAUUGAACCGCAUGGUUCAAUAGUGAAAGACGGUUUUGCUGUCACUUAUAGAUGGAUCCGCGCCGCAUUAGCUAGUUGGUAAGGUAACGGCUUACCAAGGCAACGAUGCGUAGCCGACCUGAGAGGGUGAUCGGCCACACUGGAACUGAGACACGGUACAGACUCCUACGGGCGGCAGCAGUAGGGAAUCUUCCGCCAUGGGCGAAAGCCUGACGGAGCAACGCCGAGUGAGUGAUGAAGGUCUUCGGAUCGUAAAACUCUGUUAUUAGGGAAGAACAAAUGUGUAAGUAACUAUGCACGUCUUGACGGUACCUAAUCAGAAAGCCACGGCUAACUACGUG